RNAcentral lists this ribosomal RNA (253 nucleotides) under uncultured bacterium. Its description in RNAcentral is "partial 16S ribosomal RNA". It matches the Rfam family "Bacterial small subunit ribosomal RNA", at positions 524 to 776 of the family's 1533-position model. The record is from RNAcentral.
UACAGAGGUCCCAAGCGUUGUUCGGAUUCACUGGGCGUAAAGGGUGCGUAGGUGGUGAGGUAAGUCGGAUGUGAAAUCUCCGAGCUCAACUCGGAAAUGGCAUUGGAAACUACCUUGCUCGAGGGUUGGAGGGGGGACUGGAAUGCUUGGUGUAGCAGUGAAAUGCGUAGAUAUCAAGCGGAACACCAGUGGCGAAGGCGAGUCCCUGGACAACUCCUGACACUGAGGCACGAAAGCUAGGGGAGCGAAUGGG